UUGUCUUAUCGUACAGUAUAGUGUGGAGUGACCCACGCUUACUAUGCUUUCAUAAUAUUCGUUCAUUUUCAGUUGUGGUAUAGCAGUAUAGUGUGGUGGAACCCACGCUUACUACAUAUUAUCAUACUUUUUGGAUGGAUUACAUCACAGUUGUUAUAUUUUUAAUUUAACUUUCUUUUUCUCUUUUUGUUGAAUUAUCGUUUUAGCUCUGAUCGAAUGAAGGGCAAAACACAGUUUUCGAGAUAUAAGUUCACAGUUCUGCUCAACUUUCUUAUUUAAAAUUAUAUCUGCCUGAUGUUGGUUAAUUUUCGAGCAGUCCAGAAUUAAUUGUAAUCUGGAGUCUGUCUUGAUGUUGUAAAACGAUAUUGCUGUUUCCUUUAUCAAAAAGUCAUCUAGUUGUUUAAGAAACGGG
Molecule: long non-coding RNA, 412 nt
Filed under: Mytilus galloprovincialis (Mediterranean mussel)
Lineage: Eukaryota; Metazoa; Mollusca; Bivalvia; Mytilida; Mytilidae
Source: RNAcentral